UUUUUUUUUUUUUUUUUUUUUUUUUUUUUUUUUUUUUUG
RNAcentral lists this non-coding RNA (39 nucleotides) under Alexandrium minutum. The record is from RNAcentral. Lineage: Eukaryota; Dinophyceae; Gonyaulacales; Pyrocystaceae.